Molecule: RNA transcript, 2240 nt
Organism: Chenopodium quinoa (quinoa)
Lineage: Eukaryota; Viridiplantae; Streptophyta; Magnoliopsida; Caryophyllales; Amaranthaceae
Exons: 10
Source: RefSeq, a predicted model, not a curated record
AGCUGAGUUUAGUCAAUGAGGGUCUCUGAUUAGAUUCUUCUCAGUGUUUACGUGUUGAAAUCUUCAUCGAACUGGCUUCGAUUCUUCUCAGUGUUUCAAUUUCAUCGGUUUUGGCGACGCGGUUGCUAAGAUGUUCGGAGGAAUGUUCCAGAAGAAACCAAGCAAGGAAGAAGCUCUGCCGCAGCUUCGAUCCCACGCAUUGAUGUUCGGAGCAUGGGUUGUUGCUGUUCGGGUCACUCCUUAUUUUCUUCAGUAUUUUUCCAGAAAGAGGAGAUUACUUUGGAUCUUUGAUUCAACCCCACCAAAAUUAAGCGAUCUCACAGUUUUAUCUGCCGUAGCAGUUUCAAAAAGAUAGAAUUACUACAGAUUGGGAUGCUGUUAUUGAUGCUGCAGCAAUUGCAGGUUGGUGCAAAAUAAUGCAGUGCUUGAAGUUAGUCUUGUGCUUCUAUAACAAAAAAGAAAAUUCAACUGCGUGGCCCUCCUUGACUCCAUAUCAAAUUAACUACCGAAAAAGCAACCUGGAUAUCCUUGUUAGAGUAAAGAGGGGGAAAAGAGGAGAAGAUCGAGAGGAAGACCAUCUCAGAGAAGUUCUCAAGCACUCUGCUCAAAUGCUUUUGGAGCUCCAAACCUCAUAAUAAGUAUCUCAAGUCCAAAUUUGUUCAACAAUGUCGAUUUGUUUCCAUCACAUUCCUGUCAAACUUCCAGGAUUAAACAACAAAAAGUUUUGCAGACUGUCUGGGUCUAGGAGGGAAUUGACAAUAGUCUCCAUGUCGUCAGUUGCUACUGAUACGGUGAAGGACGUACUUGCAGCGAAUUAUAUACCUGCAGCUCCUAUACUUUUCCCCGAAGGACCGUGGCAGCAGGUUACUGAUUUCCGAAUUAUAUUUGUGUUUUCUUGUUUAUCCUAAACAAUGUUAUCUAAUUUACAGCACAUGGAAUGGUACAUGAAUGCAGUUUACUAUUUAUAUUAUUUGUUCAAAAGUGUCACUAUUUUAUAAGUUCUUAAGUGUUUCAUUGUACCAAUUCGCAUGUUUAUGAUCGUAGUUUUUGAGGGGGCUGGGGAAGUGGGGUUAGCGAAUUAGGUCAUGAUGAUCCUGAAUAUUGAGUUAAAAGGAUAGCAAGACAGAUUCUGACGUCUAUUUCCAUAUGUGAAAUGAAGAAAGAAAAGCUUGAAAUCUCAGUGUUUAGUUUCUUUUGUAGAUUUCUGGGGGAGGUACAGCUGCGAAGGGAUUCAAGGCUGCCGGUAUUUAUGGUGGUUUGAGGGCCCAAGGAGAGAAACCUCCUUACUUACAAAUUUCUGAACAUUUAGGCUAUAAUAUGAAUGCUAUAAUAAUUAACUUUGUUUCUUCCUUCAUUGUUUCAUCAUGAAGAUUGGUUGGGUGCUAUUGUUUCUACUUUUAAGGUUUUGUUCAUUUCCUUUUUUUUUCGUCAUAUUUCUUGUACCUUGAUUAUGAACGAUGCUUUAAUUUCUAUCUAUGCAGAAAUGGAGGGUGACAAAUUAUUUUAGAAUUUUGGGGUGGUUUCGAUUCAGUUUGGUAAAAAAAACUCGGAUUAUGUUCCCAUGCAUCUUAAAGCUAGGGUUUUAUUUAUUUAUAUAUUUGAUUUAGAUCAUUCAGUAUCUAAUUGAUUAUUUUCUAUAGGAAGUCUGCUGGAAUAUCAGCUCCAACUGUUGGAAGAGUCGAGAACACUCAUUAUUACCAUCCUGGAAUUGUUGCUCCUCGAGAGUAACAGGGGAAAUGGGGAGAUUGAAUGGGAUCUAAAGUGAAAAAGGUUAAUGGCUAGGGAAAGAGCAGCAUUAAGACUUCAGAAGAGGUCAAGAAGAUAGUAGCUACCCAAGUUCAAUGCAGGUGAAGGUUGGUCAUGAAAAAGGCUGUGAGUCUACUUUACGAAGACUUAGGGGAAAGGAAUUUGAUAUAGUUCAUAAAGCAGCUCAAAUCAAACUCAUCAAAAGAAGGUCGAGGUCUAGGCCGAGUAUCUGCUGGUGGAAACAAUUGAUUGGUUUUGUUGGGUGUUAAACUUUUAACAAUAAAUUAUGGGUACUGGAUAAUUUUUGCCAUGUUUUUUUGUUUUUUGUUUUUUUUUUUUUUUUUUUUUUUGUGAAGUUAAGUAGGCAAUCCAUUUCAGUGUUUUAGCUUAAGAUAGCCUUAAAAUGUCCUUGAAUAGUUUCUUGCAUUUGAUGUUACUCAAAUGGAUAUUCUAAGAAUUUAACAUUAAUCGUAAUUAGUAGCUAUGUUUUUCCA